AAUUUAAGUUUGUCUUUAAUAGGCACAAAAGAAAAAAACAACACAACCAGAACUUCCCUCAAGAGGGUCUGCCAGCUAGUCGGCCGCGAAUGCGGCCGCGAAUUCGGAAUGAUUUUUGCACUGCUCAUCAAAUAUAAACCAAGGGUUCUCCGUUCUUUGUUCAAGGUGGCGGCUAGGAGUAAUUGGUACAGUGGGGGGGGGGGGGGGCUCAGCACUCAGAAGGGGAAAUUAAAGGCUCUGUGUAAGGCUAACUUCCGUGGAAGCGAAUGUCAAAGACGUUUCAUUAAUCAGGAACGAAAGUCAGCGGAUCGAAGAAGAUCAGAUACCGUGGUAGUUUUGUCCAUAAAAUAAGCCGAAUAGGGAUCGGGUGAUGUUAUGAUUUGACUCGCUCGGCACCCCCGAGAAAUCAAAAUAGAUAGGCUCCAGGGGGUGUAUGGUUGCAAGGCUGAAACUUAAAGAAAUUGACGGAAGGGCCCCACCCGGGGUGGAGCGUGCGGCCUAAUUUGACUCAACCCGGGGAAACUCACCAGGUCCAGACACAAUGAGGAUUGACAGAUUGAGAGCUCUUUCUUGAUUUUGUGGGUGGUGGGGCAUGCCCGUUCUUAGUUGGUGGAGUGAUUUGUCAGAUUAAUUUCGAUAACGAACGAGGCCUUCACUGUUAACUAGCCCGCAUUGCUUUGGCAGUGCGCUGGCUUCUUAGCGGGACUAUU
RNAcentral lists this ribosomal RNA (710 nucleotides) under uncultured fungus. RNAcentral describes it as "partial 18S ribosomal RNA". It matches the Rfam family "Eukaryotic small subunit ribosomal RNA", at positions 777 to 1424 of the family's 1831-position model. The record is from RNAcentral. Lineage: Eukaryota; Fungi.